Molecule: long non-coding RNA, 2339 nt
Filed under: Homo sapiens (human)
Lineage: Eukaryota; Metazoa; Chordata; Mammalia; Primates; Hominidae
Description: HSALNT0379500
Source: RNAcentral
GUCCAGAGGGCCCCUCCUGCCCGCCACGUUUCCUUCCUGCUGGGGGGCUUCUGUUCUCCCAGACCGGGUCGGUGCUCUUUUCCCCCGGCGCCCCUCCCCCACCCAGCCCGGGCCUUGCCUGCCGCAGCCACCUUCUUCUCUGAUGCUGUGUCCUGGACUUGGUGACAAUGGCAAAUUGACAAGAAGGCGAGCCUGGGCCUUUCCUGCGGCGACAUCCAGCUUCCCCCGCCCCUCCCUGGGUGGGUGCCCACCACACGCCCAGCCUGCCGCGUGCUUAUCCAGGCCCUCCAGGCCAGGCCUCCGGGUCUUAUGGAAGAAGGCCCCGUGUCUGGGCAGUGCCGUGGCUGUGAGUGAGCAUCCGGGGCCAGUCAGAUGUGCCGUCUCCGGAGGUCACUUCCAUAGUGGCCAUCAACAGCUUGGCCAAACUCGGCCGCAGGAUCUUUUCCUAUCAAUUGCAGGAUGGACUCUUCCCGCAGCCAUGCGACCUGUGGCCCGCGGUCCUGCUCCCUGAGCUGGAGGAGGCUGAACAGAAUGAGCAGGUUGAGGCCUGUGGGAAGGAAGAGCCACAUCUCCUUCAUGUUUAUUACCCCCUCCGCAGGCCAUAGCUAGGAGGCCUUGAAGGUUUUUUUAAGGGGGAAAGGGGGUUUCCAGAACCACAGCCGGCUCAGCAGAAAGUCUCCACCAACAGAAUCUGUGGGCGCACAUUCCUCAACAGCUGAAGAAGGGGCUGGAGGGGCUCAUGGCAUCCCCUCCAGAGGCAGGCCCAGGGCCCUGUGUGCAGUGGGGGGUCCUGCAUCUGCAUUGUUGUUAAGAAAGUGACAUUUGGCUACAUGGAGUGACUCAUGCCUGUAAUCCCAGCACUUUGGGAGGCUGAAGCUGUCAGAUUGCUUGGGCCCAGGAGUUCGAGAUCAGCCUGGGCAACUUGGUGAAACCUCAUUUCUUUUUUUUUGAGACAGGGUCUCACUCUGUAGCCAAGACUGGAGUGCAGUGGCACAAUCUCGGCUCACCGCAACCUCCACUUCCCAGGCUCAAGUGAUUCUCCUGACUCAGCCUCCCGAGUAGCUGGGAUUACAGGUGUGCACCACCACGCCUGACUAAUUUUUGUAUUGUUAGUAGAGACGGGGUUUCACCAUGUUGGCCAGGUUGGUGUUGAACUCCUGACUUCAAAUGAUCCACCUGCCUUGGCCUCCCAAAGUGCUGGGAUUACAGGCCUGAGCCACUGCGCCCGGACUUUUUUUUUUUUUUGAGAUGGAGUUUCGCUCUGUCACCCAGGCUGGAGUGUGGUGGCAUGAUCUCGGCUCACUGCAACCUCCACCUCCCAGGGUCAAGUGAUUCUCCUGGGUCAGCCUCCGGAGUAGCUGGGAUUACAGAUUUCUUCCCGGUCAGCCCCAAACACUGAAUGUAAAUACGGUCCAACAUCAACCUGCAAACGAACACUGACAUGAAAGUGCAGUUGGAAAGGAUCUCGCAAAGGAACAGAAUCUGGUGAUCCUAAUCGUAAUGAACGUGAUCGCCGGGUAUUGAGAGCUUGCAGGUACCAGGGCUCCGGCACUACGUGUUUCACAGGGGCCACUCGGUAGACCUCUUGGUGACCUUGAGGUCAGGUACCACGUUCCCAUUUUACAGAGGAGGAAACUGAGAUAACCUACGACAGCGAAAAGGUAGCAGAGCUGGGACUGGUGCCCAGGCUCGCCGAGUGGAAAAGCCCUCGGCCACCGUGGAGAGCUCGCUUCCUGUGGUCUGAAGCGUCGCCCCUGCACCGGCUUCUGCUGCCAAGGAUGGCUUUUCCUCACUGGUGCCCACCUACGCUCACUUGUGUCAUGUGGUUAAGCCCUUUUGGCAACAUAAGACCUUUCCCAAGAAUGUGCCUCGGUGCAGAGGAAGACGGUGGGGGCAGGCCCCCUCCCCGGGAUGCUCCACCCUCCCUGACCUCACACGGGUGCAACCUGGGCCGUGGCCGAGACCUGCUGUGUGGCAGACAAUGGGAAGCCUGUGUGUCGUCCUGGGUGCCGGAUUUAGACAAUAUUUAGCUUUCCCUUGGUGGAAAAGCCUUUCCCCUCCUGCUUUGGGCAGGAACUGGUUCCUGUUGGGCGGGGCCUGGCUGCUGCCCCACCCCCACCCGGCCGGGCACCUUGACCGGCAGCUCUCCGGGCUGCUCCCUGCCUGUGUCCCUGAGCACUGACUCCAGAGGUUUAAUCAUUAACGGGCACGUUUGGCCUUCGGUCGUGGGCUGGAAUUUGGGACCUGUGCCCGGGAACAAUGAUCUCCGACACAUUAUUUUGUGUAAAAUCACUUUUAGCUGCCAUUAGCUAAUAAAGCUGGAAUAAAGUGAGGUCCAU